GCCAGGCCCACCUGUCUCCUAGGUGGUCUCAACCUGCCCUGUCGCUCCGCCACAAAGUAACAGUCAGGGGCCGUCGGGAACCCAGGCCCACCUCUACCGGGAUGGAGCCACCUGUCCUUUCAGCCCCCUCAUCAGAAUCACUUGCGGGUACUCCUCGAGCUGACCCGACUUUAGUCACCAUCUGUAUAGUAUGUAUGUAUGUAUAGUAUAUACCCGUGAUCACCUCCCAAGUGAUCACGGCCCGAUAGUAUAGCAAGGCAGACUGACAAGAAUGUAGGGCCAAUGAUGAUAAACUAGCAUCCUAUACUAAGCAUUUAGGAUUGCAGGUAAGGUAUCAACAGAUGUAGCAACAAUGUCAGGCUAUGCAUCAAAAUAGGAUCAACUGAAAGCAGUAACAUGCUACACUACUCUAAUGCAAGCAGUAUAGAGGAGAAUAGGCGAUAUCUGGUGAUCAAGGGGGGGGGCUUGCCUGGUUGCUCAGACAAGAAGGAGGGGUCGUCGGUGACGUAGUCGACCACAGGGGCAUCAGCAUCGUCACGGGGUCUACCGGAGAGAAGAUGGGGGAGAAACAGUAAAUACAUAGCAAGCAAGUGCAUAACAAGACAACAAGCAGAGCUAGACGUGUUCUAUCGCGGUAUGAGGUGAUACCGGUGAAGGGGGGAACAUCCGGGAAAGUAUCCCCGGUGUUCCGUGUUUUCGGACAGAUGAACCGAAGGUGAAAUGUUGCAGCUUCACUAUGCUAGGGACGCGUGGCAGAUGAAUGGGCUGCGUAUCUGGAUUCGUAUUGUCGUUCUGAGCAACUUUCAUGUACAAAGUUUUUCCAUCCGAGCUACGGUUUAUUUUAUAUUAAUUUUCAAAGUUUUAAAUCAUUUUCUAAAUAAUUAUUAUGAAAUUAAUUCAAAAUUAGUAUUAUUGCAUCAGCAUGACGUCAGCAUGACGUCAGCAGUCAACAGAGGGGUUGACUGGUCAAUCUGACACGUGGGUCCCACUGGUCAUAGACUCAGGUUAACUAAACCGAUUAAAUAGACUAACUAAAUGAUUAGGCUAAUUUAUUUUAAUUAGAUGAGUUAACCAGGAUUAAUUAACUUAAAUAAUUAAUUAUUGAUUUAUUUAUUCUAACAUUUUUUUAUUCUUUUUAUUCUCUUUUUUUUAUCGUUCUGGGGUAGGGCCCCCCUUGUCAUAGGCCCCAGGGGGCCUAUGGGCGCUGGGUGUGGGGUGGCCCGAACGAGCGCUACGGGCACCCGACCGCAGGCAGAGGCCAUUGGCCCGAUGCGGCUGGGCGCCGGCGUCCAAGGCGCCGGCCAAGGGAGGCAGCAGAGGUGGCCGCGGGGACAGCGGGGGCGGGCAGCUACAAAAGCAGCAGCCGCAGUGGUUGCAGCAGUAGUAGGCAGCCACGGCACGGGCACGCGCAGCCAGGGCGCUGGCGAGUACGGGGCUGCGGGAGCGGAAGUGCGAACGGGGAACGGCGUGGCCGGGCGUGGCCGCAAUCGACGGCGGCGAGCUUGCGGACGACACGUGCGGAGAGAGGAGGAGAGACCGGGCCUCACCGCGAUUCGUGGGGUCAAAGGCUGCGGGCUCGACGAAGGUCGGAGAGGUCCGACAAGGGAGAGGACGAGGUGGCGGCAGUCCGGCGACGAUGGGCAAAGAUGCGGUGGCGGCCAGCGAUGAUGAAGAUGGAGUCGAUCGCGAGCGCCGACGAUGACCCAGAGCAAUAUUGCACCGAGAAGAUGAGGACGAAGAAGGCGAGCUCUCCGGUGUAGUCCUAGGAGUCGGGGAGGCGACCGGCCACGGCUGCGUCAGGACGACGGUGAGCGCGGCGGCCGCGGUCUCGGGCGCGGCAGAUCUGAUGGGGCGAGCGAGGUGGAGAGGGGGAUGAGAGAGUGCGUGAGAAAUAUCUGCGGGUGGGGGGGUGCUCGGUGGCGACCUUAUCCUCCUGGCCAACGCCGACGAGGGGGUUGGGCGGCGACGAGCGUGUGCGGGCGCUUGAUCGGACGCGCCCGAGGAACAGUGAAGAGGGGCAAGGGGUUUGAGUGGGCCGGCUGGGCCGACUGGACCUGCCCAGCUACUUAGGCCCAGGUAGAGGGGGCUUUUGUCUUUUCUUUUCUUUUAAAACUUUUCUGUUUUCUUUUAUUUCAUAAAGCAAAAUAGUUUUAUAAAAUACUAAGCAUGCACCUAAACUAUAAUUAUAACUUAGGACACUGCUAUAAUUAACUUGGCACCAAACUAAAGUAGUUUAGUAUUUUUAUAAAGUAACAAGCAUUUAAAUAAUUGUUUUAGCCACUAUUUUAAAUAGUUUAGGUCAUUUAAAUACUUUUCAAAAAUGUUGGUUCACCACCAGCAUUAACAAAAGAAUAUUUGCCACAUGAUUAACAGUUUAGUUUUAACAUUUGAAAACUUUUAUUGUUUGCUUGAUUCUGAAUUUGAAUUCGAACCGAUUUCAAACUAACGCGAGAUUAGCAACAGUAAUCGAGGUGAUGUGGCAUCAUUAGCAGAGGUUUACUGUAGCUUGAUUAUCCAGGCGUCACAAUUCUCCUCCACUACAAGAAAUCUCGUCCAGAGAUUUAUGAGGGGAGCUAAGGGGGGAGGGAUUGGGUUACGAUAAUUCCAACGAGUGUUCUCGGUCUUGGUUGCUCUUCUCGAAGCGGUCGAUCCAUUAUGUUGAUGUCUUCAUUUCUCUGCUUCAGGCCAUCAUGAUGUAGUACACAUCCUUUCUUCGGGAUCUUCAUCGUACUUACGGAAAGGAUAAACGGUGGGCAUUCCGGGAGUACGGACCUCUACAAGGUCGACUAUCUGGUCGGUAACAUCGAGGAAGAUGGCGGAAGUAACUCUCGAAUUUAAACUUAAGAAAAUAUCGAGAGCAAGGUAAGGAGGUAUCAUGUGAAGUUUCAAGCGGGCAGACAAUCGUUUGUUUCUUGAAACAGGGCGUGAAAGGGCUCAAAGCAAUCAAGAAUAAGUAUUGCGUCCGGCAUCAGAUUUGAUGAUCCCUCGGAAGAUGGCUCGUGAAUUACAUACGAGGCCACACGCGAGGAGCAACCUUGGGAACAGGGGGUGCAGGAGAGUCAGGUUUCGAUCCUGUGGAACUGUGGGUUAUGGGCCCACCAUGUGGUUCAAAAGUAGGAAGGGGGCCGACAUCUUGCAGGUCAUGAUAGUAAGGCAUGUCAGAGGGUAGCCUAUCAGUUAUGUCGGCAACAACAUCGAUACCAAGGGCGAGGGACGAAGAGAACCAUUUUCCCUGCUCGUUGAACGAGGCGGGCCAAUAGGCAACGUUCUCGUCCAUCGGCGGCUACCGAAAUGUCAUCAACAAUAGUAACAGGGUCUUACUGACAAAGCGGUACCACGAGGUGUUUACAUAAGCAGGAGAAUAUUACUGCUUAGGUCAUAUAGAUCACAAGAAAGGUUAAACCAAACAAUGGAAAGGAAAAUAUGAUUAUCAGAUUAAACAGAACAAUGGAGAGGAAAAUGUGUUAAAACACAUAUUUCAGGGGUAUUUCCUUCCCAAGGUCAAACAGAGCAUGAUAUCCAUGACAGGAUAGAAAGUAGAAAACCAUUUAUGUAAGGGGAGAGGAAUUUCAUGACAUUACCCAUACAACGGUGUUUGGAUAAUUGAGCAGGAAACAUUUAGCAUUGGGCUUCAAAUGUUCUUGUUGAAAAUUGGAGUACCACAGACAUGCUUCGAGAUAGCGUUGACAUGGUCAUCAGGUGAAGAUCAGACUUUGGAAACACAAAGGAUCCAUCAGGAGCAACUUAUAAAAUAAGUCUUACAAUUUCCUCCAGGAAGAACGGUUAUCCUUGCAAAAGAAAUUAUAAUGAUAGGUCCUCCAGCCAGGGGGGUGCUAGGCAUGACAUCAUCUUACCAGGUCAUCUAAGAACCUUCAUCAUAACUCCUGGAAAGUUGUCCCAACCAUCAUAUCUGACCGAGAUUCAAAUCUGAUUGGUGUCAUGAUACCUCAGACUCAGGAUGUCCGAGAAGAAAAGGUGCAACACAAAUAGACGAAAUGACAUGCAAGAUUCUCGGGAAAUGAACUAUGGGAGCGAGUUCCUGAAACAGUAGUUCAUCAGUAAACCAAGGAGGGGAAGAAGGUGGCUGACGGGCUCAGCGACAAUUCAUCGAGAAUUCCAAACGGAUGGAUUUCCACAAUAAUGUGAACAAGAAGAUGACAGUUGUCAAUUCAAAUGAUAUAAUGUUGUAUGCUCUAGGAAAACAUACACCAUCAAUCAUUAGUUGAAAGGUGUGCCUGAAAUAUGACCUUAGGCAGCAAGAUCAAUGUUAGAGUGACGAUUCAAUAAUCAACGGUCCAAGAACGAACUGUCGAUCGUUAACUUCAAAGCAAUAGGGUUGCUAGAAGUACAGAACUCAAACAACAUCUAUUGGUUUGCUGGUUAAAAACAACACGAGGACCAAGGAAGAAUGGUGAUGGUGAGAAGUAUCAUCAUAUCGAGAAUUUCUAAGAGGUGGAGCAAUCCCCACAUCAUUCUCGACAUAAAAGACAGUAAUACUUCAAGGCAGAACACAACACUAGCUGGAGAGCAAGUUGUAUUCAGAAUGUGGACAAGUUCGCGAUAAAAGGAAGUCAAGAGUGUUGUCGAUGAUAAUAAAAUCAUCGAGGGCAAGGAGGGUAUUUCUCAUCAUGAACACAAUUGACAUCUAAUCAAAGGAAUGAUGAAGUGAAAUGUUAUUGGAACCAAGGGUACGACGCCAACUCGAAAUCAAGCUUGCUGUUCAAGGCAAAAUGAUAUGAUAAGGAAAGUUGAUGUAAGCUUAGCUCAACGCCGAAAAUUGUGCUUCGAGAUUAAGGACCAGGUAGCACAGUUAGAAUCAUCACGACAAUGAUAUAGUCAAACAUGCUAGGAAUGGCGUGAUCGGGUACAAACUCGUACUUAUAGAAGCUUACUGAAGAGUUGUUGAACCGUAGUGUGGACUCGGUUCAGUUAUUGGUGUCUUUGAGUGUUUAAAAACUCAGAGCCCGUGAAAAAUUGGAAUCAGUGGGAAUGUAGCACUUGAUGAAGAACUCAUAAGAGGUUACGCGGUUCCAUGAUAAUCUCAAGAUACCAGGGGGGUAAUACUCGAUGACAGAUCAAAGUAGAGGUUGGACUGGGCUAUUGCUCUACAGAAGACCAGUGCUUAAACUUGCACGAGAAAUGGUAUUUAAAAGAGAACAUGGUCGGAACCACGAUUGCAAAAGGCCAGAUCCCAGAUAUAAGAUGAACUUAUACCAAAGGGAUAAUUAAUUUAAGAGAAGCUUUAAUGAUAAGAUCUACAUCGUGUCCAUGGGCAUGAACACAAGUUCAAGGUCGACUCCCACUUCUCCAAUGCACAACCUUUCAUUCACUUCUCACUUUCGAGGAGGUUGUAGUGUUGAAAUUUUAUCUGGCAAAAUACCAGGAGUGUAUCGUGAAAACUUUCUAGUUCACACAUAUUAAGGAAGGCAUAUGUUCAAGCCAUCGGGGCUUCUUAGAACAUAUACCACGAACUUCAGGAGUAAUUAACACAAGCUCAAAGUAGAGCAUGGUUGACAAAGCAAAGUAUACAAUUGACCAAAGGCGGUAUAUAUCCUAGGAAAGGCUCAAGGUUAUUGAAUAUGAAGGAUAUUGUCGGAUAAAAUCCAACAAAGGAUCUGGGGUGAGUAUCGGCACACAACCAGAGGAAGAAGCAAGGCAAAGACAUUGGAUUAUAGAAACAACUAAAUAACUUAGAGCUCAAUUGCUAAGGAAUUAUGAUUUACAAAGUGAAGGAUCAGAAGCAGACGCUCUGAUCAAGGAUGGGUAAGUUCAAUAGACUUAGGGGCACAAUCGACGACAAUUUAGUUGGCGAGAACCGGCUCAUGAUUAAAACGACGUCUGAGCCGGAAGGAUGAAUUCUAGGAUCUGUUUGAGGAUUGCGAGCAUUCGCAACAAAUCGAAUCAACGGACUCAAAAUGACAAUGACAAUGGAUGUCAACAAGAUUACUAGACUUAUGGGAUUAACCAUAAUGCAAGCAAUCAAGAAUUUCAAGAGUAAUAGGAUGCUCAGGAUUUUCGGAAGAUCGAAUGAUAUUUCGAGGAUUGGUGACAUACAUGAAUCAAUUGGGGAUGAGUGGAUAAUCGGUAAUUGUGAGAAAUUAUCCGUAGGGGUAUUUAGGUGGUAAGGAACUGCAAGGCAGUAGGCAUAAGUAUUCUAAGAACAACAACGAAUAUUUCAGGGCAUCUUGUAAUAAAAAGAGUAACUGGGAACUAAGUAAGAACGGUGUAUGAAUUUAUUCAUAGGGAUAUUUCGGUGGUAGUGAAUUGCAAAAGCAAUGGGCAGUCCCGAAAGAGUAUCGGAAUUUAACUUUGAAAUCUUCAUGUGUAGUCGGCGAUCAUCUGGACUGAAGGGGCUCUCCGGGAGAAAGCGUUUUCGAGAACCUAAAGUUAGAUUUUAGAAAGUCAUUUAACCCGAAUAGAAGAGAGAUUAGAAUCCCAGAGUAUAGGCGAGAAAUAAAAGAUCCUACUACCACCCAAUGGCGACGUGUGCCGGUAAGACACACAGCCAUGUUAGUAAAAGUUUUUGCAACGUCUAGACUCGACUUCGGCCAAGGAGUUGGGAAGGGGGAUUCCUACAGGCAGUCGGCUCUGAUACCAACUUGUGACGCCCCCGAUUCAAUCGUACACUAAUCAUGCACGCAAACGUGUACGAUCAAGAUCAGGGACUCACGGGAAGAUAUCACAACACAACUCUAAAAACAUAAAUAAGUCAUACAAGCAUCAUAAUACAAGCCAGGGGCCUCGAGGGCUCGAAUACAAGUGCUCGAUCAUAGACGAGUCAGCGGAAGCAACAAUAUCUGAGUACAGACAUAAGUAAACAAGUCUGCCUUAAGAAGGCUAGCACAAACUGGGAUACAUAUCGAAAGAGGCGCAAGCCUCCUUCCUGGGAUCCUCCUAACUACUCCUGGUCAUCGUCAGCAGCCUGCACGUAGUAGUAGGCACCUCAAGUGUAGUAGUCGUCGUCGACGGUGGCGUCUGGUUCCUGGGCUCCAAAGUCUGGUUGCGGCAUCCGGGAAGAAGAGGAAAACGGGGAAAAGAGGGAGCAAAGCAACCGUGAGUACUCAUCCAAAGUACUCGCAAGCAAGGAGCUCCACUACAUAUGCAUGGGUACAUGUGUAAAGGGCCAUAUCAGUGGACUGAACUGCAGAAUGCCAGAAUAAGAGGGGGAUAGCUAAUCCUGUCGAAGACUACGCUUCUGGCAGCCUCCGUCUCGCAGCAUGUAGAAGAGAGUAGAUUGAAGUCCUCCAAGUGGCAUCUCCAAGUAGCAUCUCCAGUAGCAUCGCAUAGCAUAAUCCUACCCGGCGAUCCUCCCCUCUUCGCCCUGUGGAAAAGCAAUCACCGGGUUGUCUGUGGAACUUGUCUGGGUGUGUUUUAUUAAGUAUCCGAUUCUAGUUGUCAUAAGGUCAAGGUACAACUCCGGGUCGUCCUUUUACCGAGGGACACGGCUAUUUGAAUAGAUAAACUUCCCUGCAGGGGUGCACCACAUAACCCAACACGCUCGAUCCCAUUUGGCCGGACACACUUUCCUGGGUCAUGCCCGGCCUCGGAAGAUCAACACGUCGCAGCCCCACCUAGGCACAACAGAGAGGUCAACACGUCGGUCUAAAUCCUAUGCGCGCAGGGGUCUGGGCCCAUCGCCCAUUGCACACCUGCACAUUGCGUAUGCGGCCGGUGAGCAGACCUAGCAACCUCCAUUACAAAGGAAGUUGCGUUAAUGCAGUCCAACCCGGCGCGCGCCGCUCCGUCGCUGACGUCAAGAAGGCUUCGGCUGAUACCACGACGUCAGGAUACCCAUAACUACUCCCACGUAGAUGGUUAGUGCGUAUAGACCAAAUGGCCAGACUCAGAUCAAAUACCAAGAUCUCGUUAAGCGUGUUAAGUAUCCGCGAACGCCGAACAAUGCCAGGCCCACCUGUCUCCUAGGUGGUCUCAACCUGCCCUGUCGCUCCGCCACAAAGUAACAGUCGGGGGCCGUCGGGAACCCAGGCCCACCUCUACUGGGAUGGAGCCACCUGUCCUUUCAGCCCCCUCAUCAGAAUCACUUGCGGGUACUCCUCGAGCUGACCCGACUUUAGUCACCAUCUGUAUAGUAUGUAUGUAUGUAUAGUAUAUACCCGUGAUCACCUCCCAAGUGAUCACGGCCCGAUAGUAUAGCAAGGCAGACUGACAAGAAUGUAGGGCCAAUGAUGAUAAACUAGCAUCCUAUACUAAGCAUUUAGGAUUGCAGGUAAGGUAUCAACAGAUGUAGCAACAAUGUCAGGCUAUGCAUCAGAAUAGGAUCAACUGAAAGCAGUAACAUGCUACACUACUCUAAUGCAAGCAGUAUAGAGGAGAAUAGGCGAUAUCUGGUGAUCAAGGGGGGGGGUCUUGCCUGGUUGCUCAGACAAG
RNAcentral lists this long non-coding RNA (8388 nucleotides) under Triticum aestivum (bread wheat). RNAcentral describes it as "long non-coding RNA (TAES_LNC016413)". Lineage: Eukaryota; Viridiplantae; Streptophyta; Magnoliopsida; Poales; Poaceae. The record is from RNAcentral.